Molecule: non-coding RNA, 808 nt
Organism: Pangasianodon hypophthalmus (striped catfish)
Lineage: Eukaryota; Metazoa; Chordata; Actinopteri; Siluriformes; Pangasiidae
Source: the annotation of a RefSeq genome assembly
CACACACACACACACACACGUUUCCAUAGAGAGAGGUUCCACUUUGCAUUAGCAGCUCAUGCUUCAGUGCUCUGCGAGUGUUUAUAGCCCUGUGACUUUAACACUUCAUGACUGAGAGCUGCUGCUCAGCGACUUCACCCACAGCAACCAUGAGUUUGAUCAGCGUCUUCAUCUGCACACUGGCCCUCUGCGCUCGAGGAUCCAGAGGUCAGGUGACUGUGACUCAGAGUCCUGCAGUGAAAUCUGUUUCUCCAGGAGACACACUCACCAUCAGCUGUAAAACCAGUCUUGCUGUUUACUCUAGCAGUGGUUUUCAUUUUUUGUCCUGGUAUCAGCAGAAAGCUGGAGAAGCUCCUAAACGCCUGAUCUAUUAUGCUAGCACUAGAGAAUCAGGUAUUCCAGCUCGUUUCAGUGGCAGUGGAUCAGGAUCUGAUUUCACUCUGACCAUCAGUGGAGUCCAGGCUGAAGAUGCUGGAGAUUAUUACUGUCAGAGUGUACAUUCUAUCAGUAGUAGCUAUGUGUUCACACAGUGUUAAAGCAUCGUACAAAAACCUGGGUGAGUGUGACUGCUGCAGCUGGGACCUACUGCAGGUGCUGAGGGGGACGAUGUGAUACAGCACAAUGACACACACUGUGGAAGAAAACACAAACACACACACAAAUCACAUAUUGUUCACAUGAUGUCACAUGUUUAUUUCACCUCACAUCUGCAAUUUCAACCCAAAACAUGUUGAAAAGCACAAAAUUUCAUUAAAAUGCAACAAUCAAAUGUCUCUAUGGAAUGUAUGUGGAAUGCCCCCUAUAAUCU